GUAAGGGUGUAUGGUGGAUGCCUAGACUUGCAAGAGGCGAUGAAGGACGUAGUUAAGCUGCGAUAAGCCACGGGGAGCUGCCAAGCAAGCUUUGAUCCGUGGAUCUCCGAAUGAGGAAACUCAUCUAGUGAAGAACUAGUUACCGAACCAGAGCAUAGCUUAGUAGGAGCGUCACAGUACCAGAACAAAGUUCGGUACUGGACUGCCCCGAACCGAGCUACGCUCUGGUUCGGAGCGUACCCAGGGAAGUGAAACAUCUCAGUACCUGGAGGAAAAUAGAACAAUUGUUAUUCCGUUAGUAGCGGCGAGCGAAAACGGAGAAGCCCAAACCCAGCCCUAGAUUUGAGUUAUUGAAAUUUCGAUAAUUCAAAUCUAGAGCUGGGGGUUGUAAGGGAGUGACGCAUUAACAUGGGAGAGUUACAAAAUGUUGUUUAAGAUGAAUUUGCUGGAAAGCAAAACCAUAGAAGGUAAUAGUCCUGUAGACAAAUAAACAACAUCUCUCUAGUCACUUUUCUUGAGUACCUCGGGACACGACUGGCCUGAGGGAAUCCGCCGGAACUAACCGGUAAGGCUAAAUACUCUGCAAGAUCGAUAGUGAAGAGUACCGUGAGGGAAAGGUGAAAAGCAGGCCGGUGAGGCCGUUGAAAUAGUUCCUGAAACCGUACACCUACAAGGAGUCAGAGUCCAGCCCCAGAUUUGAAUCGUCGAAGUUUCGAGGACUCAAAUCUGGGGCUGGGUGAUGGCGUGCCUAUUGAAGAAUGAGCCAACGAGUUAUUGCAAUUCCUUUGUCUAAGGGGUGAACCCCCGGAGGCGUAGCGAAAGCGAGUGUGAAUAGCGCGAACUAAGUAGGGAUUGCAUUAGACCCGAAGCCAGGCGAGCUUACCAUGUCCAGGGUGAACAAGAGAGAAAUCUCUUGGGAGGCCCGAACCGUUAGGUCGUUUAACGCCUUCGGAUGAGGUGUGGUAAGAAGUGAAAAGCUAAUCGAGCCUGGUAAUAGCUGGUUCUCUCCGAAAUCGCUUUCGGGCGAGCGUCAUGUGUUUCCACUAGGGGUAGAGCACUGGAAGGUUUCGACAGGGCGAAAGCUCGCGAAAUCUAUCAAACUCCGAAUACUAGUGUUUUAGCAUGGCAGUUAGACUCCGGGGGCUAAGCUCCGGUUGGUCAAAAAGGGAAGAGCCUAGAUCCACAAAUAAGGUCCCUAAAUAUAUGCUCAGUGCAUCUUAAGGAGGUGAUAUCUCUUAUACAAUGAGGAGGUUGGCUUAGAAGCAGCCAUCCUUUAAAGAAAGCGUAACAGCUCACUCAUCGAGAGAUUUCGCGCCGUAGAUAAUCGGGGCUUAAGCAUAUUACCGAAUUUUGGAAUUCAGUUUCGCUUCGGCGAGACUGUCUGGUAGGAGAGUGUUCGUAUCCGCUGUGAAGUAGUAGCUGUGAGGCGCUAUGGAGUGAUACGAAGUAAAAAUGUUGGCACAAGUAACCACAAUCUCGGUUAAAACCCGAGACGCCGAAAGAUCAAGGGUUCCUUCGCGACGACGAUCGACGAAGGGUUAGUCGGGCCUAAGCGGAUGGUGAAAACCGAACGCGAUGGACACACAGUUAAUAUUCUGUGACUCUUGCGUGUUCUGAUGGAGUGACGGAGUGCAGUAUGUUUCGCACAUUAUGGAUUUAUUGUGUCUGGUGUAUUAGGGUGAUUGUUAGGUAAAUCCGGCAGUUAUAGCCCAAGUAUGUCAGAAACUUUCCGGUACGCCGGGAGGGAUGAGACAAAGCGCGCUUCCAAGAAAAACUUCUAAAGAUUCAAACACGUAGGAACCGUACCGCAAACCAACACAGGUGAUCAGGUCGAGUAGACCAAGGCGAACGAGUGAGAGGUCCUCAAGGAACUCGGCAAAAAAGCGGCCGUAACUUCGGAAUAAGGCCUUCCCGUAGCAAUAUGGGACGCAGCUAAAGUUUCUCUGGCAACUGUUUACCAAAAACACAGCUCCCUGCGAACUCGCAAGAGGAUGUAUAGGGGGUGACGCCUGACCGAUGCCGUAAGGUCAAAUAUGGAUGGUACAUUGAAGCAAUUUGAUGUGCUGACUGUAUAAGCCCCGGUGAAUGUCGGCAAUAACUAUAAUUGUCCUAAGGUUACACACUGGACAACGUUAAUAAGUAUAUGUCAAGUGUGUAAGGACUAGGACGAUUAUAGAGGUAAACAACAGAGUCCGUCGCUAAGGUUCUAAAUAAAAAGACAGUGAAAAUAUAAAAUGUAAGACGCUGCCUAGCCCAGAAAUGGGUUGUCCCAAAAUAUCUGACUAUAUGCUGGGAAAUCCGUGAAUGUUCAAGUACUUGGCUGACUGUCAGCCAACAGCCAAGUGACAAUCUUGAAACGAUACGGACAAUCAGCAGGAAAGACGUUGUGAACUUCGUGGAAUGUUCUCAAGCGGGGUGUGGCGCAGACUGGUAGCGCGUCUCCUAAAGUACCCCAGUGGCCAAUCACUGGAAACGCCGGUAGCGCACCCCCGGCGCUGGUGCUCACGGAGAAGGUCAGAGGUUCAAAUCCUCCCGCCCCGAAUCAGCCCGAUUAUUUUAAUCGGGCGUUCCAUGAAGUUCAUAACGAAUCCUCAGAAACCAAACGUCAGACUCUGAUGAAAAUUGGAGAAGAUAGAGUUCGAUCUGCAUAGCGAUAUGCAGUUAACACAAAUUAGCGCAAUUCCUUGUCAGGUAAGAAAAUUGCCUGUUUCAGUAGUGAUACUGAUACAAAUCUGGCUAAUAACGGUGAACUCCUCGCCCGAGUCCGACAAAUCAAGGGUCGGACGAUGAAGACAGGACAAUACCGUGGGAAGUCGUUCAGCACUAAUUUUUGGAGUUAAAAAAGAGGUACCACCGCGAGGUGCGGUGGUAGUAGGUUGAUUAGCGACAUAGAGUCUUGCCGAUACUCACGUCGAGAUCGAAUGUCCCGACGAGAAUCAAAACGGUGAGCUCUACAUAAAUCACGAUAAGCGCCCGGCGUAUGCUGGCACAAUCGUCCGUGAUUUUUUCGCAAAGCAACUUGAGUUUGAUCAUAGAUACCGGAUACCUCCGUGUUUAUUAUAACAACAUCGUUAUAAUGAAUCCA
RNAcentral lists this ribosomal RNA (3085 nucleotides) under Candidatus Wildermuthbacteria bacterium RIFCSPLOWO2_01_FULL_47_18. RNAcentral describes it as "bacterial LSU rRNA". The stretch from base 5 to 2197 matches the Rfam family "Bacterial large subunit ribosomal RNA", at positions 15 to 2044 of the family's 2925-position model. The record is from RNAcentral. Lineage: Bacteria; Candidatus Wildermuthiibacteriota.